UCUGAAAUAGUUCUUGUUCUUUAAAAAGA
RNAcentral lists this non-coding RNA (29 nucleotides) under Mus musculus (house mouse). The record is from RNAcentral. Lineage: Eukaryota; Metazoa; Chordata; Mammalia; Rodentia; Muridae.